This 292-nucleotide ribosomal RNA is filed under the name uncultured bacterium. Its description in RNAcentral is "partial 16S ribosomal RNA". It matches the Rfam family "Bacterial small subunit ribosomal RNA", at positions 505 to 796 of the family's 1533-position model. The record is from RNAcentral.
GUGCCAGCAGCCGCGGUAAGACGAACCGAGCGAACGUUGUUCGGAAUCACUGGGCUUAAAGGGAGCGUAGGCGGGCUAACAAGUCUGGGGUGAAAUCCCGCGGCUCAACCGUGGAACUGCCUUAGAUACUGUCGGCCUCGAGGGAGAUAGGGGCAUGCGGAACUAACGGUGGAGCGGUGAAAUGCGUUGAUAUCGUUAGGAACUCCGGUGGCGAAAGCGGCUCACUGGAUCUCUUCUGACGCUGAUGCACGAAAGCUAGGGUAGCGAACGGGAUUAGAUACCCCAGUAGUCC